UUGUACUGAAGCUUUAAUGUACACAGGUUGUUUUAUAACUUGAUAGUGUGACUAUUUCCUGUAAGUGAACUCUGUGCUGAUUCAGGGUUUAAUUUAACACACCGAUGUUGGAGUGAAGUAAACGUGUAUCCUGCUGUAAUCUGAAGAAGGAGACGUGACCUCCAACAUGAGUGUGUCUGCAAAACAGGACUUAAAGAAAGACGAGAGAAUGAUGGAGGGAAAGAGAUCAGACUCACCAGAACACAGCUGUGUGUCCAUGAAGAGUGACAAGUCAAUGGAUUUUCCAAUUGCCUUCAGAGACAGAGACAGUUCUACUGAUGUGAGACCAAAAAAAUCAAACAUCAGGAGAAAACAGCUGGACUCUAUAUUCAAGG
This is a long non-coding RNA of Tachysurus fulvidraco (yellow catfish), 374 nucleotides long. RefSeq lists it as uncharacterized. Lineage: Eukaryota; Metazoa; Chordata; Actinopteri; Siluriformes; Bagridae. The record is from RefSeq and is a predicted model, not a curated record. The transcript is spliced from 3 exons.